This 253-nucleotide ribosomal RNA is filed under the name uncultured bacterium. RNAcentral's name for it is "partial 16S ribosomal RNA". It matches the Rfam family "Bacterial small subunit ribosomal RNA", at positions 524 to 776 of the family's 1533-position model. The record is from RNAcentral.
UACGAAGUGGGCUAGCGUUGCUCGGAAUCACUGGGCGUAAAGGGUGCGUAGGCGGGUCUUUAAGUCAGGGGUGAAAUCCUGGAGCUCAACUCCAGAACUGCCUUUGAUACUGAGGAUCUUGAGUCCGGGAGAGGUGAGUGGAACUGCGAGUGUAGAGGUGAAAUUCGUAGAUAUUCGCAAGAACACCAGUGGCGAAGGCGGCUCACUGGCCCGGUACUGACGCUGAGGCACGAAAGCGUGGGGAGCAAACAGG